Non-coding RNA from Aspergillus arachidicola, 130 nucleotides. The record is from the annotation of a GenBank genome assembly. NCBI's taxonomy places the organism in Eukaryota, Fungi, Ascomycota, Eurotiomycetes, Eurotiales, Aspergillaceae.
GGGCCUCUGGCGCAACGGUAGCGCGUUGUAAGUUCUACUAUUAAUACCUUCUGGCCUACUUUACAUAUUCUAACAAUAUCAUCAGCGACUCCAGAUCGAAAGGUUAUCCGUUCAAAUCGGGUGGGGCUCA